ACGGGAGGCAGCAGUAGGGAAUCUUCCGCAAUGGGCGAAAGUCUGACGGAGCAACGCCGCGUGAGCGAAGAAGGUCUUCGGAUCGUAAAGCUCUGUUGUUAGGGAAGAACAAGUAUCGGAGGAAAUGCCGGUACCUUGACGGUACCUGACGAGAAAGCCACGGCUAACUACGUGCCAGCAGCCGCGGUAAU
This 191-nucleotide ribosomal RNA is filed under the name uncultured bacterium. Its description in RNAcentral is "partial 16S ribosomal RNA". It matches the Rfam family "Bacterial small subunit ribosomal RNA", at positions 341 to 524 of the family's 1533-position model. The record is from RNAcentral.